This 497-nucleotide ribosomal RNA is filed under the name uncultured bacterium. RNAcentral's name for it is "partial 16S ribosomal RNA". It matches the Rfam family "Bacterial small subunit ribosomal RNA", at positions 28 to 507 of the family's 1533-position model. The record is from RNAcentral.
GAUGAACGCUGGCGGCGUGCCUAAUACAUGCAAGUCGAGCGAACAGAUGAUGCUCUUGCUCCUCUGACGUUUGCGGCGGGCGUGAGUAUCACACGUGGAUACUCUCCCUAUCAUUCUGGUAUAACUUCGGGACUCCGGCUCUUAUCCCGUAUAAUAUCUUGAUCCAUAUUGUUCGAUAGAGAGAUUCGGUUUUUCUGUCACUUAUCGCUGGAUCCGCGCCGCUUUGGCUGGUUGGUACGGUAACGGCUUACCAAGGCAACGAUGCGUAAGCGACCUGAGAGGGGGAUAGGCCACACGGGAACUGAGACAGGGUCAAGACGCCUACGGGAGGCAGCAGUAGGGAAUCUGCCGCAAUGGGCGAAAGCAUGACGGAGCAACGCCGAGUGAGUGAUGAAGGUCUUCGGAUCGUAAAAAUGUGUUAUGAGGGAAGAACAAAUGUGGAAGUAACUAUGGACGUCUUGACGGUACCUAAUCAGAAAGCAACGGCUAACUACGUG